This 518-nucleotide ribosomal RNA is filed under the name uncultured bacterium. RNAcentral describes it as "partial 16S ribosomal RNA". It matches the Rfam family "Bacterial small subunit ribosomal RNA", at positions 355 to 861 of the family's 1533-position model. The record is from RNAcentral.
UGGGGAAUUUUGGACAAUUGGGCGAAAGCCUGAUCCAGCAAUGCCGCGUGUGUGAAGAAGGCCUUCGGGUUGUAAAGCACUUUUGUCCGGAAAGAAAUCCUUGGCUCUAAUACAGUCGGGGGAUGACGGUACCGGAAGAAUAAGCACCGGCUAACUACGUGCCAGCAGCCGCGGUAAUACGUAGGGUGCAAGCGUUAAUCGGAAUUACUGGGCGUAAAGCGUGCGCAGGCGGUUUGCUAAGACCGAUGUGAAAUCCCCGGGCGUCAACCUGGGAACUGCAUUGGUGACUGGCAGGCUAGAGUAUGGCAGAGGGGGGUAGAAUUCCACGUGUAGCAGUGAAAUGCGUAGAGAUGUGGAGGAAUACCGAUGGCGAAGGCAGCCCCCUGGGCAAGUACUGACGCUCAUGCACGAAAAGCGUGGGGAGCAAACGGAUUAAUACCCUGGUAGUCCACGCCCCUAAAANGAUGUCAACUAGUUGUUGGGGGAUUCAUUUUCCUUAGUAACGUAGCUAACGCGUG